GACCGCGUAGCUCAGUUGGCAGAGCAUUGGGCUAGUAUUCCAAAGGUCGUAGGUUCGAUUCCCACCGUCGUCA
Non-coding RNA from Paramuricea clavata, 73 nucleotides. Lineage: Eukaryota; Metazoa; Cnidaria; Anthozoa; Malacalcyonacea; Plexauridae. The record is from the annotation of a GenBank genome assembly.